UGCAACCCAAAGGGGUUUGAAGGAAAGAACCACCACACCACUACUACACACCCCAUCACCUCAUGAGGAUCACCACAUAAAAUCACAAUGUAUUCAAACACAACUUCACAAGUGAACACAUGCAAUCACAAGGUAUGGCAUGGCAAGACAAUAUGACAAGCAAAACAAGGAAGAACAUAAGUGCCACAUGAAAUCAUAGAACCAACAU
This 208-nucleotide long non-coding RNA is filed under the name Hordeum vulgare. RNAcentral's name for it is "long non-coding RNA (HVUL_LNC012241)". The record is from RNAcentral. Lineage: Eukaryota; Viridiplantae; Streptophyta; Magnoliopsida; Poales; Poaceae.